Molecule: ribosomal RNA, 253 nt
Filed under: uncultured bacterium
Lineage: Bacteria
Description: partial 16S ribosomal RNA
Rfam family: Bacterial small subunit ribosomal RNA
Source: RNAcentral
UACGUAGGGGGCAAGCGUUGUCCGGAAUCAUUGGGCGUAAAGCGCGCGUAGGCGGCCCUGUAAGUCCGUUGUGAAAGUCAAAGGCUCAACCUUUGAAAGCCGAUGGAUACUGCAGGGCUAGAGUCCGGAAGAGGCGAGUGGAAUUCCUGGUGUAGCGGUGGAAUGCGCAGAUAUCAGGAGGAACACCAAUAGCGAAGGCAGCCCCCUGGGAUGUGACUGACGCUCAUGUACGAAAGCGUGGGGAGCAAACAGG